GGAUAACGUUUGGAAACGAACGCUAAUACCGCAUAAAAUAUCGGAGUCGCAUGGCACUGAUAUCAAAGGAGCAAUCCGCUGAAAGAUGGGCUCGCGUCCGAUUAGGCAGUUGGCGGGGUAACGGCCCACCAAACCGACAAUCGGUAGCCGGACUGAGAGGUUGAACGGCCACAUUGGGACUGAGACACGGCCCAGACUCCUACGGGAGGCAGCAGUGGGGGAUAUUGCACAAUGGGGGAAACCCUGAUGCAGCGAUGCCGCGUGAAUGAAGACGGCCUUCGGGUUGUAAAGUUCUGUCGCAGGGGACGAAAAUGACGGUACCCUGCAAGAAAGCUCCGGCUAACUACGUGCCAGCAGCCGCGGUAAUACGUAGGGAGCAAGCGUUGUCCGGAAUUACUGGGUGUAAAGGGAGCGUAGGCGGGAGGAUAAGUUGAAUGUGAAAUCUAUGGGCUCAACCCAUAGCUGCGUUCAAAACUGUUCUUCUUGAGUGAAGUAGAGGCAGGCGGAAUUCCUAGUGUAGCGGUGAAAUGCGUAGAUAUUAGGAGGAACACCAGUGGCGAAGGCGGCCUGCUGGGCUUUUACUGACGCUGAGGCUCGAAAGCGUGGGUAGCAAACAGGAUUAGAUACCCUGGUAGUCCACGCGGUAAACGAUGAUUACUAGGUGUGGGUGGACUGACCCCAUCCGUGCCGGAG
RNAcentral lists this ribosomal RNA (693 nucleotides) under uncultured bacterium. Its description in RNAcentral is "bacterial SSU rRNA". It matches the Rfam family "Bacterial small subunit ribosomal RNA", at positions 141 to 851 of the family's 1533-position model. The record is from RNAcentral.